This 253-nucleotide ribosomal RNA is filed under the name uncultured bacterium. RNAcentral's name for it is "partial 16S ribosomal RNA". It matches the Rfam family "Bacterial small subunit ribosomal RNA", at positions 524 to 776 of the family's 1533-position model. The record is from RNAcentral.
UACGUAGGGGGCAAGCGUUGUCCGGAAUUAUUGGGCGUAAAGCGUGCGCAGGCGGUUCUAUAAGACAGUUGUGAAAUCCCCGGGCUCAACCUGGGAACUGCAUUUGUGACUGUAGAGCUGGAGUGCGGCAGAGGGGGAUGGAAUUCCGCGUGUAGCAGUGAAAUGCGUAGAUAUGCGGAGGAACACCGAUGGCGAAGGCAAUCCCCUGGGCCUGCACUGACGCUCAUGCACGAAAGCGUGGGGAGCAAACAGG